GAGAGGGCAGGUGCGCCUGCGCACAGCCGCAACCGCCAGUCAACUCGCUUCCCCUCCCUUCCUCUCCCCUCCCCCUCUCCUCCUCUUCCACAGACGCUUGGAGCGCGACGCCAACAUGGAGCCGGAGGACCUGCCAUGGCCUGACGAGCUGGAAGAGGAGGAAGAGGAGGAGGAAGAGGAAGGGAAGGAGGAGGCGGAGAAUGCAUCAGCGGCAGCGACCGAGGAGGCCCGGACCUCUGAGGAGACUGGGAGACUGGAAGAGGAAGAGUUGGAAGGGGCGGGUCCGGAGGUGGACUUGGAUUUUAACAGCGAGUCCCAGCUGCAAGAGAGCACGGACGAAGAGGAGGACGAGCUGGCUAAAGCCUGGCUGCAGGCUCACCCUGACCGUCCUGGCCAAGGUUUCUCUCUGACCCCGCCUCCGACUCCGCCUCCGUCCUCCCGGCACCAGUACAGGCCGGUAGAGCACUGGGGCAAGAGGGAGGUUAUUCCACUGACUUACCGUGCAUGGCAGCAGACAUCAUACCAAGAUAAUGCUAGAGCCCAGUUUUCCAACUCCAGUACAUUGUUAUUGGAGCCAGAAUUUCAGUGGGACCCUGAGGAGGUUCAGAGAACAGAGUCUUGGCAUCAUCUUCCUCAAGAAAGGGAUUCUUUCCAAACCUUGAAUAUAUCCCAGACUGGGAUCGACAGAGUAGAAGGAGCAGAAGUAAAAGACUUGCCCUCUCAGGAGGGAGGUGAAUCGGUUCAGGCACAGUGUCCAGUAAAGGAACCAAAGCUGGAUCUCUUGUGUUCUCCAUUGCUAGUGAUACAGGAUGACUUUGCUGCUCCUGAUUUGCCCUUGCUGACAUGUAUGACCCAAGACCAGGAGUUUGAACCUGAUUCCUUGUUUCAACAAAGUGAACUGGAAUCCUUUGAGAGGGAUUCCUGAUAAGUCUGAAGAUAUUGAAUGGCUUGCUCGACCGUCAGAAGUUAGUGAAGCUUUAAUCCAGGCCACCUCAGAAUCAUCUUCAGACUUAGUUAACAGUUGCUUUAGUAUAUCUCAGCAUCCACUCACAGAGGGCCUGCAGGGGAAGGCUAAAUCUGAUGUCCUUAUUCUGUUUGGUGAUGCUAAAUACGCCAGCAUAUAUGAAAAUGCUGGUGCACACAGUGAAAGAAUUACCGAAUUGCAAAGAGAGGUAGACUGUUCUAAUCUGAGCAUUACCCAGGCUUUUCCAUCUUCCUUGCCUUCAUUUGUUCCUCAAGAACCGACCAUUGAGUCAGAAUAUCAUUCCUCCAAUCUCAGAAUGUUGAGAGUAUCUCCCGACACUCUGCUGACAACUCUUACACAGACAACAGGAUCUGUUGACCAGAAGAUUGGAGCAGCUGCAAUCUCUUCUCCUUACUCACAUGGAGUACAGCCUGGCAGCUUUCCCCAAGAAGAGUUGCCAGAUAGGCAUCUUACCGAAGAGAUUCGGAAAGUGUCACCUGCUCCUAGGCCAGCUGGCCAGAAGCCUGAGAUGCCAACAGUACCAUCUAGUUCUUACUCUAAGGGAAUAAAAUCUGUUUUCUAUCGAUAUCCGAUGUCAUACAGUCCUCAAGGCAAAGAGCCUCCAAAUGUUUCAUCUGUUUCUGGAUCAGCUGAGAAUGCCCUGCCCCUAACAGUAACCUCUGUUUCCCAGCCACAGAGAGAGACAGCUAAAGCUUUCUACCAGCAAACAUUAUCAGACAGUCUUCUAACUGCAGAAACAUUGCCAGUUUCUGUUAUUCCUGAAUCAGGUGACCAGAAGACUCAUUUGCUAUCAGGGUUCUCUCUCUCAUAUUCUCACAGAGGAGAGGACCUGCCUGAAGAUGUAGUGAAAGUUUCCACUGAUUCUGGAUCUGUUGACAAGAAGGCUGACAUUCCAACAGUGUCCUCUAGUACCUACCAGCACAAAACAAAACCUGGUAUUAUUUACUACCAAGAGUUUCCAGACAGCCAUGUGCCUAUAGGGACUAGAAAGGUUGUAUCUCAGUCAGGAGCAGCUGGCCAGAAGACUGAUCUAUCAGCAGUGCCCUCUACUUCCUCUUCACAGGCAGAGAAGCCUGUUCCCCCCUCCCUGCUAACUUUGCUAGGUAGUCAUCUACCUGAAGAUGUUUUCAAAGCUUCUUAUGUUUGUAAGUCAUCUGAAGAGCCAUCUGGAAUAACAGCUCUGACCUCUGUUUCCUACUCAUAUAAAGGGAGACCCAAUAUUUCUCAUCAAGAGAAGUUUCCAGACAGUUACCUAAUUGAAGAGGCCCAGAAAAUCUUGGGUUCAACUGUAACAGUAGACCAGAAGACAGUGACAGCAAAAGAAAAGCCUAGUGUUUUCUACCAACAGGCCUUGCCAGAAGGUGGUCUAUCUGCAGAGGAUCUGCAAGUUGACCAGAACAUUGCUAUACCAAUGGUAACUUCUGCUUCCUUCUCACAAAGAGAAAAACCUCAGGUUUUCUACCAAGAGGCGCUCUCAGGUGGUCAUUUGCCUGGAGAGCCUCCUGGACCGCCCGACCAGAACACUGAGGCACCAACAAUAUCGCCUAGUUCCUACUUCCCUGGAGAAGAGUCCAUUAUUUUUUACCAAGCUGGCUUUCCAGGUAACACUCCAUCUGUAGUGCCUUUCAAAGUUUCAAGGAUUUCUGAAUUAGCUGAACAGAAGACUAACAUAACAACAGGACCAUCAGGUUCCUACUCAGUUGGAGAGAAGUCCAUUAUUUUCUACCAUCAGGCCUUGCCAGAUGGUCAUCUUUCUAAAGAAGCUUCUCCUGCACCAGCUGACCUGAAGACUGGGGAGCCACCAGUAUAUUCGGCUUCCUGUUCUGUUGAGGUAAAGCCCAUUAUUUUCUACCAGCAGCCUCUGUCGGAUAGUCCCCUAACUAAAGGUCACAACGUUUCAGUUGUUCCUGGACCAACUGACCAGAAGACUGGUAUACCAGCAGUGCCUUCUACUUCACAGUCAUAUAUAGAGAGGCGUUCUGUUUCUUACCAGCAAGAGUUUCCAAAUGUUAGUGAAAAAGCUUUGAAAGUUCUAGGUGGUGUUAGAUCCACUGAACAGAAAACUGAAAUACCAGUAGUGUCUUCUGCUCUCUUACACACAGAGGUACCUACUAUUUCUUCCCAAGAGGAUUUGCCAAAUCUUACUGAAGAAGCUUUGCAAAUUUUAGGUGUUGCUGAAGAAGUUCCUUCUGUCCCUUCACGUGAUAAGACACGUCUCAUCUCUUACCAGAAGAAGUUACCAGAUGGUACUGAAGUAUCUUUGAAAUCAGUAGGCUUUGGCUCUACUGAUCAGAAGACUGGGGCACACAUAGUCUCCUCCUCAAGAAGAGAGAAGUCCAGUGGUUUUCAUCAGCAGGAGUUGCCAAAUACUUGUGGGGAUGCAUUAGGUACUUUUCAUCCUGAACCAGUUGCCCAGAAGGUUGGAAAACCAACAGAACCUUCCAACAUACAGGGAAAGGCCAGUGCUUUGUCUCCACAGCAGUUGCCGGCCAGCCAUCUUACAGGAGAGGCUCUGAAGGUGUCAGACGGUUCUGCCUGUGUGGCACAGAUGCCUGAGGCACCAGCAGGACCGUCCAUUUUCUACUUCCAUAAAGAAAGGUUCAGUAAUUAUCAAAAGGCCUCACCAGAUUGUGAUCUAACUGAAAAUUCUUUGAAGUCUUCAACUGUUCCUGGAUUGUCUGAUCAGAAAAAGAGACCUCCAGUCUCAUCUGGUUCCUGUUCACACAAAGAGAAACACAAGAUUUCGGCUGCAGAUUUGCUGGAUGCCCAGGCGGCUGAACUGCCAACAGUUAUUCAGAGAUCCUGCUUACAUAGAGAAAAGCUGGCAAUUUCAACUGUGAUCAAACCAGAUGACCCAAAGAUUCCAUUACCAACAACUUGUCAUGCCUCCUGUGCUCAAAAAGUAAAACCUGUUAUUUUUGUUCAAAAACAGUUAUCAGGUAGAGAUCAAAGUGAAGAUAUUCCGAAGAUUUCAACUGUCUCUGAGCCAACUGUUGCAAACACAGGUGCACCAGUACUUCUGUCUAGUUCUUACCCAUACAGAGAGAAGUCAGAUUUCUCUUCCCCAAAGGAACUGCCAGAUAGACAUCCAGCUAAAGUUGACAUGCAGGCUUCAAGCAGUCUUGGACAAGCUGACCAGAUUUCUAGGUUACCUACAGUUCCUCCUGGUACUUAUUCACACAGUGAAAAGUACCAGCUUAUCUCAGAGCAUGUACAAGAGCUGAUUGAUAAUUUGAAUUCUUCUGAGUCUUGUCUCAAUGCAGACAUUAUGAUGCCUUCAAAUUCACAAAUUGAUGAUGGAGUUAUCAUAUGUAAGCCAGAAUCUUCACGUUUUGCCAAUGUUGGCUGUGAGGAAAUCCAGGAUAUAGAUCAUGGUUCCAAAACUCUUAAAGAAAUUCAGACUCUCUUAAUGGAAGCAGAAAAUAUGGCACUAAAACGAUGCAAUUUCUCUGUUCCCUUAGUUCCUUUCAGAGAUGUUAGUGAUGUUUCAUUUGUACAAUCAAAGAAGGUGGUUUGCUUCAAAGAAACCCCCACAUCUGAUGUUUGUAUCCAGAAGGACUCAUUUGCAGAGGAAGUCCCACACACUAAGUAUGUACAGAAGGACAUCGGUACACAGACGAACCUUAAGUACCAGAGGAAUGUUAGAAAUUGGGAAUUUAUUAGUUCAGCUACCUUUAGAAGUCCUCUACAUGAAGCAAAUGGCACAGCUCGAGUGGCAUUUGAUGAAAAUUUCAGGCAAUAUAGAGCUACCAGGUCUGUAAUGAGGUCUGAACCUGAAGACUGCAGCACAGGCAUUGGGGAUAAAAUUAUUAUCCCUAUGAUGACAAUCAUAAAGAGUGACUCGAGUAGUGAUGUAAGUGAUGGUUGCUGCUCAUGGGACAAUAAUUUACCAGAGUCUUUGGAAUCUGUUUCUGAUGUUUUUCUAAACUUCUUUCCGUAUACUUCACCCAAGACAAGCAUAACAGAUAGCCGAGAAGAGGAGGGCUUGUCAGAGAGUGAAGAUGGCUAUGGUAGUGCAGAUUCAUUGGCUGCACAUGUGAAGUACCUUCUGCAGUGUGAAUCCUCACUGAAUCAAGCCAAACAGAUACUUAAGAAUGCAGAAGAGGAGGAAUAUCGAGUCCGAGCCCAAGCCUGGAAUCUAAAGUUCAAUUUAGGACGUGACUAUGGAUACCCCGUUUCAGAGUUAAAUGAAGAUGACAGGAGGAAAGUAGAAGAGAUAAAGGCAAAGUUGUUUGGUCAUGGAAGAACAACUCACGUGUCUGAGGUCUUACAGAGUCCACGAGGAAUAGGAUGUUUGCCUGAAGCUGUAUGUGGUCACAUUAUUAUUGAGAGCCAUGAGAAAGGAUGUUACAGGACUCUUACUGCUGAACAACCACGACCAGACAGCUGCCAUUGUGUUUUUCGAUCUGUUGAUCCUUCAGACUUGAUUAGAGGACAUCGGAGCCCAUCAUCAUGGAGAGGCAGGCACAUCAACCUUUCCAGAUCGAUAGAUCAGAGCAAUCCCCAUUUCAAAAUAGGGAAUUCCUUUCAGUUACAGAGUCAUCCCCCAUUUGAAAAACUUGUACCUGAUGACAUCAAAAUUAGCAAGGGUGUUGGAAUGCCAUUCCAUGAACACAUGGAUCCCCAGCCAUCAGAAUUAAUAGAACCUACUUGUGUGCCAGCUAAAGAAAUGGAUUUUUCUUCCUCUUCUGAAAUACUGCCCUCUGAACCCAAGAAGCAGUUCACCACUUCCAUCACUUUUUCUUCUCACCAACACUCUAAGUGCAUUUCUGAUUCCUCUGGUUUUAAGGUUGAUGUUACUGCAGGUAGCCAGUGUACUGGGCCAUCUUUAGGGGUGUUUAAGCCUCAUAUCCCUGAAGAGCAGAUUUCUCCUAGAGAUCUUAAACAGAAAAUCUCGUCCCCUUCAUCACUUCAAAGGCAUAGUUACACACCAGUGACUAUUUUAGUUGACAGUAGUAGGCAAAGACAAAAAUUACCUGUUGAUUUUGAGCAUUCUAAUCAAAAAGGAAAACUCUUACAAAGAUCAGCUUUUAAUUUUAGCCAUUCUGAACCCAGUGUCAGUACAAAUGUUAGUUUCAAGGGAGUUCAAUUUUCUGGUAACGAUACCAUCGUUAGGCAGGACAAAUUAAUUUCCACAGUUGAGGUAAAAGAGAAGAAUGUAACUUUAACUCCUGAUCUUCCUUCUUGCAUUUUUCUUGAGCAAGGAGAAGAAAGCCACACCCCACACACAGAUCUUCAUAUGAGGAAGUGCCCUUCUCCCUCUGGUCUAGACAUUGCUUCUUGCAUUUUUCUUGAGCAGCACAAAUUCUUUGAGCAAAGCCAAGGCCAGCAUGUAGAUGAUCAUGAAAUGAGAGAAGACUACUCUCUCUUCCCUAAGUGCCAGGGUUACAUAGCUGCAGACCCUUCUGACUUUCCUGAUCAGCAGCAAUGCAAACCUCCAGGUGUAGAUGGCCACGUGAGAAAACAGCACUAUCCUCUUUCUCCAGUUCAGGAUUGUGAGGUAGAAGAGGUUCAGUGUAUACCCCAAUCAUACUUUUCUAAUAUGGUAAAUGUUGAAGCCAAGGUCAGUGAUAUGGUCUCCCCUGACGCCCCUGACCACUUUACAGCAGCAUCUACUCCACCUUCAAGUAGAAAAGCACUUUCAUGUGUUCGCAUAACUCUUUGUCCCAAGACUCCUUCCAAGUUGGAUAGUGGAACCUUAGACGAAAGGUUUCAUUCAUUGGAUCCUGCUUCUAAAACAAGGAUUAAUAGUGAGUUUAACUCUGAUCUUCGAAUUAUAUCUUCAAGGUCAUUGGAACCAACCUCCAAAUUACUGACCUGUAAACCAGUAGCACAGGAUCAAGAAUCUUUAGUUUUUCUAGGACCUAAAUCUCCACUGGACUUGCAAGUCGCAGAGUCUUCUCUUCCAGAUAGUAAGACUAUUUCUCAGGACUUGAAAACCACACCUCCUCAGAAUAGCCAGAUAGUAACCUCAAGGCAAACACAAGUGAACAUUUCAGAUUUGGAAGAAUAUUCCAAACCAGAGGGGACUCCAGUACCUGCAGAUGGUUCACAAGAACAGAAUAAGGCUCCCUUUACUACAUCCUCUGGAAUGUUAUCAUCUGAUGCAGUCACUCAGGUAACAACAGAAAGUCCAGAAAAGAUGACAUUUUCAUCUGAAAUUUUUAUUAAUGCUGAUGAUCGUGGACAGGACAUUCCAUACCCCACGACCCAAAAUCCAUCCAGGUUUGCCUCCUCUUCCUCAGGGCAGCAAAUCACAGCUUCUCAGGGCAAAGACGCCCAGCCUGUGUUGUUGCCAUAUAAGCCAUCUGGUAGUUCGAAGAUGUACUAUGUUCCACUGUUAAAACCAGUUCCGUCAUAUCUGGAUUCCAAAUCAGAUACUACUGUUGAGAGCUCACAUUCAGGCUCCAAUGAUGCUAUUGCCCCAGACUUUCCACCUCAAGUGCUAGGCACAAGAGAUGAUGACCUCUCCACCACUGUAAACAUUAAGCACAAAGAAGGGAUCUAUAGCAAGAGGGCUGCAUCAAAGGGGAAACAACCCUCUCAGAAAGGUAAUGCAGAGGCCCCAGUUCAAAUGCCUGUAACUUGGGAUAAGAAUGUCUAUAAGGAAAACCAAGACGAGAUCAUCAGUAGAAGAGUUGUGAUCGAGACGGCAGGACCUGAAGAAAUGCCAUCCCAGGAGAAGGACCUUGCAGGAUCCAGUGAUAUCACUGUGCAAGACAGAAAAACUGGAAAUCUGCCAGACGCUAAAUCCAUUAAACAGAAGGAAGGAUCCUUAGAGAUAGAGUCUCUUCAUUUUUCCAGGUGGCAAACCGUAUAAUGUCUUCUGACUCUGUUUCAUCUGCUGGUAGUUGUUUGAGCUUGGACUCUACUCUGUCCAAUGAGGAAAAUGUGCACAUGUUGAAUAAGGGUGUACAAGCUGGUAACUUGGAGAUUGUGACUGGUGCCAAAAAAUACACUCAGGAUGUUGGGGUGACUUUCCCAACGCCCAGUUCUAGUGAGGCCAGAUUGGAAGAGGAUAGUGAUAUGACUUCUUGGUCAGAAGAAAAAGCCAAAGAGAAAAAGUUCCUUUCCAACUAUCUGCGGGGCAAAAACUUAAGGAAAAACAAGCCAAAUCCCUGUGAAGGAGUCUCAUGGUUUGUUCCUGUGGAAAACAGAAAGUCUGAAUCUAAGAAGGAAAACCUGCCCAAGAUUUACAGACCUGCUAUCUCCUGGUUUGAACCAGUAACCCAAACCAAACCCUGGAGGGAGCCACUGAGGGAACAAAACUGGCAGGCACAAUGCAUGAACAGUCGUGGGUCCCUGGGAGGCCCAGGCAGGGAUAGUGGCCAGAGUUUUCUUCAGCCAUUUGUGAGAGCAACCCUGCAGUCUGAAGCUACUAGUCCAGGAGAGGAAGCUACAGAACCUGUUCCAGAUUCUCUUGGCAGUCCAGAAGAACAAAAGAAGAGAGAAGAGGAGAAGAGAAAAUCAGAAUAUACAUCCUACCGGCUACGAGCUCAGCACUAUAAAAUG
This 8497-nucleotide long non-coding RNA is filed under the name Rattus norvegicus (Norway rat). RNAcentral describes it as "long non-coding RNA NONRATT020646". Lineage: Eukaryota; Metazoa; Chordata; Mammalia; Rodentia; Muridae. The record is from RNAcentral.